RNAcentral lists this non-coding RNA (153 nucleotides) under human gut metagenome. RNAcentral describes it as "Lysine riboswitch". It matches the Rfam family "Lysine riboswitch aptamer", at positions 7 to 159 of the family's 182-position model. Rfam says of the family: Riboswitches are metabolite binding domains within certain messenger RNAs that serve as precision sensors for their corresponding targets. Allosteric rearrangement of mRNA structure is mediated by ligand binding, and this results in modulation of gene expression. The record is from RNAcentral.
AGGGUAGAGGCGCGAAGCUUAUCAGUAGUAUCGUGGAGAUUCAGGAAGUCGUAGAGCCGGUAUAAAAGGAAGUUUCGCCGAAGUCUGUUUUUGUCCUGCAAAAGCAGGCUGGGGCUGUAUCAAAUAGGUACAGGACUGUCAACAGCUACAACC